This 289-nucleotide ribosomal RNA is filed under the name uncultured Kocuria sp. RNAcentral's name for it is "partial 16S ribosomal RNA". The record is from RNAcentral. Lineage: Bacteria; Bacillati; Actinomycetota; Actinomycetes; Micrococcales; Micrococcaceae.
CUACUAGGGUUUCUAAUCCUGUUCGCUCCCCAUGCUUUCGCUCCUCAGCGUCAGUAACAGCCCAGUAACCUGCCUUCGCCAUCGGUGUUCCUCCUGAUAUCUGCGCAUUUCACCGCUACACCAGGAAUUCCAGUUACCCCUACUGCACUCUAGCCUGCCCGUACCCACUGCACACCCGGAGUUAAGCCCCGGGCUUUCACAGCAGACGCGACAAGCCGCCUACGAGCUCUUUACGCCCAAUAAUUCCGGACAACGCUUGCGCCCUACGUAUUACCGCGGCUGCUGGCAC